RNAcentral lists this unclassified non-coding RNA (200 nucleotides) under soil metagenome. Its description in RNAcentral is "partial contains internal transcribed spacer 2 and large subunit ribosomal RNA". The record is from RNAcentral.
AUGCCUGUUCGAGCGUCAUUAUAACCCUCAAGCUCUGCUUGGUGUUGGGGCAUGCCUAUGGCAGCCCUUAAAAUCAGUGGCGGUGCAACUGGCUCUAAGCGUAGUAAUUCUCUCGCUACAGAUUCCAGGUGGUUACUUGCCAAAACCCCCAACUUUCUAAGUUUGACCUCGGAUCAGGUAGGGAUACCCGCUGAACUUAA